This 468-nucleotide ribosomal RNA is filed under the name uncultured bacterium. RNAcentral's name for it is "partial 16S ribosomal RNA". It matches the Rfam family "Bacterial small subunit ribosomal RNA", at positions 28 to 507 of the family's 1533-position model. The record is from RNAcentral.
GACGAACGCUGGCGGCGUGCUUAACACAUGCAAGUCGAACGGAAAGGCCGUGCUUUUUUGUGGUGCUCGAGUGGCGAACGGGUGAGUAACACGUGAGUAACCUGCCCUUGACUUGGGGAUAACCUCAGGAAACUGGGGCUAAUACCAGAUAGGAGUUCCUGCUGCAUGGUGGGGGUUGGAAAGUUUCGGCUGUUGGGGAUGGACUCGGGGUUUAUCCGCUUGUUGGGGAGGUAGUGGCUUACCAAGGCUUUGACGGGUAGCGGGCCCGAGAGGGUGACCGGCCCCCGUAGGACAGAGCUACGGCCCAGACUCCUACGGGAGGCAGCGGGCGGGAAGCGUGCCCUACCCACCGAAGCCUGAUGCAGCAACGCCGCGUGCGGGAUGAUGGCCUUCUGGUAGUAGGCCACAUUCGACUGUAAGGAUACGUGUAUGCCAGUAACGGAUAAAGAAGCACCGGCUAACUCCGUG